Dama dama (fallow deer) is the source of this 73-nucleotide non-coding RNA. Lineage: Eukaryota; Metazoa; Chordata; Mammalia; Artiodactyla; Cervidae. The record is from the annotation of a RefSeq genome assembly.
UCCCUGAUGGUCCAGUGGCUAAGACUCCAUGCUUUGAAUGUAGGGGGUCCUGGUUCAAUCCCAGGUCAGGGAG